This 547-nucleotide ribosomal RNA is filed under the name Longpotamon loudiense. Its description in RNAcentral is "partial 16S ribosomal RNA". It matches the Rfam family "Bacterial large subunit ribosomal RNA", at positions 1831 to 2625 of the family's 2925-position model. Lineage: Eukaryota; Metazoa; Arthropoda; Malacostraca; Decapoda; Potamidae. The record is from RNAcentral.
GUUUGUUUGGAGUUAUAAAGAAUUUAACCUGCCCCCUGAUUAACUACUAAUUAAAGGGCCGCAGUAUUAUAACUGUGCAAAGGUAGCAUAAUCAUUAGGUUUUUAAUUGAAAUCUCGUAUGAAUGGUUGGACAAAAGAAAGACUCUCUUUAUAUUAAGUUUUGAAUUUAACUUUUAAGUGAAAAGGCUUAAAUAUUCUAAAGGGACGAUAAGACCCUAUAAAACUUUACAUUGUCAUUAAUUUUGAUUGAAUUUAUGAAAUAAAAAUUUUAUUUGAUUAUUUGUUAUGUUGGGGAGACAUAAGUAAAAUAUUUUUUUAACUGCUUGAUAGUUAUACAAUUAUUAGUGAAUAAGUAGAAGAUCCUUUUUAAGAUUAGUAGAUUAAGUUACUUUAGGGAUAACAGUGUAAUUUCUUUUGAGAGUUCUUAUCGAAAAAGAAGGUUGCAACCUCGAUGUUGAAUUAAAAUAUCUAUAUAAUGGAGAGGUUAUAUAAGAAGGUCUGUUCGACCUUGAAAAUUUUACAUGAUUUGAGUUCAAACCGGUGUGAG